RNAcentral lists this long non-coding RNA (604 nucleotides) under Pectinophora gossypiella (pink bollworm). Its description in RNAcentral is "uncharacterized LOC126382189". The record is from RNAcentral. Lineage: Eukaryota; Metazoa; Arthropoda; Insecta; Lepidoptera; Gelechiidae.
GACCAGGAUUCGACCCUGGGUUAUAGUCAAAUUAAGUGAUUAAAAUGGCCAUUAUUAUUGUUGUGAUCGUCUAGUAUAAAGAUUGUGUUUAAUAUGACUACAGAAUAGUGGGAAUCAUAAUGGAAGGAAGACAAAAUAAGAUGCAACGUACGGGUUUUAGCUACAAUAAUUAGUAAGAUUGAAGACUUCUUGACGAUGUUUAUAAUGUAUCCUAUAAAAUAUUCACUCGCCAGAAUCGUCCAAAGAUCCAGGAGGGACAGAUAUCUACUCCAAACCUGGAAUCUGUUGCAGAAUAUUAAAGAAAAUUAUGGGAAAACAAAUUUGAAUGACGGACAGAUUUAGCAAGAUGAAAGAUUUAAGCCUACAAGCAUGCUACUGUUUCUCACAUCAAAGGUACAUUGUUAAUUAUGAACAUCAAUAGUAAAUAAAGCAGUUUUGGAGAAAAGUAGUAUGUUUCAUUAAUAAUCCCCUGGUUGAUUAUUUUUAUUGAUAUCGUACAGCUCCAUCUAUUGGCAAGCUAUGGUACUACAAUGACUUCUAGCUAUCAAGCUGCCUAGAAAUGAAGUCCUGCUUUUCACAAAUGUCAGUCCUUUUCCCACUCCAU